GAGAGAGAGAGAGCAGCAGGGUGUGUCUAUAAAAGUGGAUAUGUUCGGAGUAAAAAGUCUCACACCUGAGUUGGAUUGGGUGAGACAUUAACUUUGGGUGAACCGACCCGUAGCGCGUGCACGGGCUGCUUUGUGCGUACAUCGGAAGUGAGUCAUCGGCGCUGCGCUGUUAGCGUGGGUGUGUGCGCUGUUAAAAACGAGGCUCAGGCUGCUCCGUGUGACUCACUCUGAUGCUGGGCUGAUCACAGGAACUUUUUGGAAACGGUGCAGCCCCAAAGACUCCAUGGCUCCAAACGCUUUGUGCGCACUGUGCGGAUUUAUUCUAGCGGCUGUCACCAGCCUCCACUGCGCGAGCGCACAGAAAAGUUUGUGCAAAAGCUCCGAGUUUUGGAACGCAGACAUGGACGUGUGCAUUUCCUGCUCAUCGUGUAAGCAGUACCCAAAGACGCCGUCGUGCAACACAUGUAAAUCUGUGGACGAGACGCAUGACGUGUGGAAGCUGGCAGCCAUCACCAGUUUCUCGGUGCUCGCUGUGGUGCUGGUGGGGGCCGCGUUGAUCAUCGGGGUCAUGGUUCUUCGACGCAAGUCACACAAGCGCCCUCUACGUGAGCCAAUUGAGGAAACUGCAGGACCUCUUUAUCAAGCCUGAACAGUACAGUAGCCUCGUCUUCCUCUGGAAACAUGUGACAGAACCAAGGAGCGACCAAGAAAACUGCAGAGUGAACAUGAAUCACGGAGGGUAAAGAGAGACGUUCUAGGCUCUCGGAUCUUAUUCUCGACCUAUAAGGACAUCAGCAGAACAGCUCCUACGCCUCUCUGCAUCUUUAGGUAUCUUUCCAUUCCACCUGGUUACGUCUUUAGUCCUAGUUUGAUUCAGAAACAGGAGGUAAAGGACAGUCUCUGAUGGACUCUGGUGAUUGAAACACACGUGUAGCAGCAGCAGCAGCAGCUGAUCCCUCACUGAUCAGCAGCGUUACACAAGCUCGCCUCCUGUGGCCUUUUUAAAUGCAGACAUCUUUGGAAAGCUGAGAAUUUAUUUUUGUUUUUUGUUUGUUUGGCACAUUGAGGCCAUUUGAAUGUAGCUACUUUUAAUAUGUACUCUAAGAUCUGUCCCUGCCAGUACCUGCACCUACCUGUUUGUUUAAGUAGCCUGAUACUGCCAUUGGACUGUGGACUAAAAGGGGUUAACUGUACUAGUGCACUGUUACUGGGUCUGCACAGACCAAAAUAACCUCUCAUCACAUUAUUGUCAGUUGAAGAAGAUGAAGAAGAAGAAGGAUGUAGUUUGAUAAUCUUGCCCCUGAAUCCACGCCACUGUCCUGGUGCUUGGAGAAUGGAUGAGUGAAACACUAGAAGGACAAAGCCAGCCUGUUAACAUGUGGGAAUGUAGUGAGGAAUGCACAACCAAGCUGCACCUGCCUUUGUAAACGUUUGCUCUAUCUCACCUCGUCUGCAGCAAACUUCAACAUUAUUGUAAAAAAAAAAGAGAUACAUAUUGAUGCCGAUCACCAUUUUCUACAACAAUUCAAAAAUAGUCUAUUUUUAUGUGAAUUAACAAUAUACAGGUAUGUUUUUUUUAAGAAAACAAAAACAUUUUUCUACUUUUCUAAAUGGUAUUUUUCAAAUGAUGAACAAAACACUUUUUUUUUUUUUUUACAUACAUUUUAAUGCCAAAAGUAUCGGGACACUUCCUUUAGUUUCUGUUUUAAAUCUGUAAGGUACAAUGUGAGGUCCACCCAUUGCAGCUAUCAGGGUUGGGGUCAAUUACAUUUUUCAGUUACAAUUACAUCUUCAAUUACCUAUGUUCAGUUAGAAUUAAAUUAUGAUUACAGUGACCAGCAAUUUUUUCCCAAUUAGAAUUAAAGUACAAUUAUUCAAUUACAAUUAAUUGCAAUUACUGUGCCUGAAAUAAAUAACCUAAUAAAAGUUAAGCUUCCUCUUGU
RNAcentral lists this long non-coding RNA (1943 nucleotides) under Gouania willdenowi (blunt-snouted clingfish). RNAcentral's name for it is "lncRNA (ENSGWIG00000008008.1)". Lineage: Eukaryota; Metazoa; Chordata; Actinopteri; Blenniiformes; Gobiesocidae. The record is from RNAcentral.